GUGGGGAAUAUUGGGCAAUGGGCGAAAGCCUGACCCAGCGACGCCGCGUGAGGGAAGAAGGUCUUCGGAUUGUAAACCUCUUUCAGCAGGGAAGAAGAAAGUGACGGUACCUGCAGAAGAAGUCACGGCUAACUACGUGCCAGCAGCCGCGGUAAUACGUAGGUGGCGAGCGUUAUCCGGAAUUACUGGGUGUAAAGGGUGUGUAGGCGGGGUGUCAAGUCAGAUGUGAAAACUGUGGGCUCAACCCACAAACUGCAUUUGAAACUGAUACUCUUGAGAGUGGGAGAGGUAAACGGAAUUCCUGGUGUAGUAGUGAAAUGCGUAGAUAUCAGGAGGAACACCGGUGGCGAAGGCGGUUUACUGGACCACAACUGACGCUGAGACACGAAAGCGUGGGGAGCAAACAGGAUUAGAAACCCCUGUAGUCC
RNAcentral lists this ribosomal RNA (428 nucleotides) under uncultured bacterium. RNAcentral's name for it is "bacterial SSU rRNA". It matches the Rfam family "Bacterial small subunit ribosomal RNA", at positions 354 to 796 of the family's 1533-position model. The record is from RNAcentral.